Molecule: ribosomal RNA, 406 nt
Filed under: uncultured bacterium
Lineage: Bacteria
Description: partial 16S ribosomal RNA
Rfam family: Bacterial small subunit ribosomal RNA
Source: RNAcentral
AUCGAACGCUGGCGGCAGGCCUAACACAUGCAAGUCGAACGAGUGGCGGACGGGUGAGUAAUGUCUGGGAAACUGCCCGACGGAGGGGGAUAACUACUGGAAACGGUAGCUAAUACCGCAUACCAUCGGAUGUGCCCAGAUGGGAGUAGCUAGUAGGUGGGCUAAUGGCUCACCAAGGCGACGAUCCAUAGCUGGUCUGAGAGGAUGACCAGCAACACUGGGACUGAGACACGGUCCAGACUCCUACGGGAGGCAGCAGUGGGGAAUAUUGCACAAUGGGCGCAAGCCUGAUGCAGCCAUGCCGCGUGUAUGAAGAAGGCCUUCGGGUUGUAAAGUACUUUCAGCGAGGAGGCGUUACUCGCAGAAGAAGCACCGGCUAACUCCGUGCCAGCAGCCGCGGUAAUAC